Molecule: ribosomal RNA, 497 nt
Filed under: uncultured bacterium
Lineage: Bacteria
Description: partial 16S ribosomal RNA
Rfam family: Bacterial small subunit ribosomal RNA
Source: RNAcentral
GAUGAACGCUGGCGGCGUGCCUAAUACAUGCAAGUCGAGCGAACAGAUGAGGAGCUUGCUCCUCUGACGUUAGCGGCGGACGGGUGAGUAACACGUGGAUAACCUACCUAUAAGACUGGGAUAACUUCGGGAAACCGGAGCUAAUACCGGAUAAUAUAUUUAACCGCAUGGUUCAAUAGUGAAAGACGGUUUUGCUGUCACUUAUAGAUGGAUCCGCGCCGCAUUAGCUAGUUGGUAAGGUAACGGCUUACCAAGGCAACGACGCGUAGCCGACCUGAGAGGGUGAUCGGCCACACUGGAACUGAGACACGGUCCAGACUCCUACGGGAGGCAGCAGUAGGGAAUCUUCCGCAAUGGGCGAAAUCCUGACGGAGCAACGCCGCGUGAGUGAUGAAGGUCUUCGGAUCGUAAAACUCUGUUAUUAGGGAAGAACAAAUGUGUAAGUAACUAUGCACGUCUUGACGGUACCUAAUCAGAAAGCCACGGCUAACUACGUG